Molecule: long non-coding RNA, 1304 nt
Filed under: Cyanistes caeruleus (blue tit)
Lineage: Eukaryota; Metazoa; Chordata; Aves; Passeriformes; Paridae
Description: lncRNA (ENSCCEG00000005168.1)
Source: RNAcentral
GAUCCCUCAGGCCUGUGGGAGAAUCACUGAGCAGAUCCUUGUGCUACUGAUUCCAUCUCUCCCCACUUUUCUAAGUUCUAGAUGGCAAGCUCACUUAGAUCACAAGAAGUCCUCCUGUAGUUAUCUGCACAAUAAAUGAAAGUGAGAUUACACAUCCCAAAUCUGUGUUCUCUUACAGGCGAACUGACUGAUCUGAGGAAUUUCUGGAGCAGCAAACUUGUUUCCUCAAAUAUUAACUGUGCAAGGCAUGGAGCUCAGAGAAAGGAUUUAAUGGCAAAAGCAUCGCCCAUGCAAUGAUCUUUUGACAAAUUCUGCCCCGAGCUUUCCUUAGGAGGAUCUGAAAGGCUCCAUGUCCCUAGCAAAAGCUCCUGCAAUGGCUGCACGCCAGCAGAGCAGGGCUUUCAGCUGUGAAACAAGUGCUGCCACAAGCAGCAGCUUGGCCAGGGCAGCAAAUCAAGAGGUGGGAAGGAGCUGAUCUGAAGGCCAAACCUCCUCAGCUCCUUCUAAAGGGGCUGCAUCAGUUCCUCAUUCCAGUGAGGUGGAGUGCUGGACACCACAGCUCCCUGUGAGGACUGGACACAAGGUUGCUCCCGCUGAGUGCUGUGAUGGUUUCUGCAGGAGCUGUGGGCUCCAGAGUGUGCCAGACACAAGGAGGAGAGAAGGAGCCAAGUGCACUGACACACCUUUGCCUUGAGCAUAACCCGGCCUUGCCCAAACACACUGAAAGCUUUCCCCUUUGGCCCAUGGCUGGAAACGUCAGGUCAGCUGUGUGAGGGAUAAAAUAUAAUGUUUUCCUUCGGCCAUGGUAGGUAGCCAUAGGAAGGAGAGCUCACGUCAGGCAGGCAAAGAGGUAUUUAUUUCUCUGCUUGUUUCUUUCGUUGGGCGGAGCGCGCGGCGGCUCCUCCCUUGGGCUCGCUGAGGGAACGGACGAACGGCCGCGCGCUCCGGCGGCUCGGCAGCGGCAGCGGCAGCAGCGCCUCUCUCCAUCGGUUUUCCGCUCGACUUUCCGCUCGCUCUCCGUCCCCUUCUCCCUCUCACACUCACUCUACUGCCGUCCCGUGCCGUGCCGUGCCGUCCCUCUCAGCCUCUCCCAGCCCGGCUUAUGCCGCGUCCCGCAAGGCGCCCGUGGGCGAGUCGGCCCCCGGCCCGCCCCUGUCGGGCCUGCCGCGGUCCCACCUCGGCCAGGUUCUCUCCGCACUGCUUGUGGCGCCUCUGGAAGAGUUUCUGGAAGAGCUCCUCGCUCUGCGGGUGGCGGAGCGGCACCGUCUUUUGGCUCCGCCUGGUGCGGGCCCUGGCCCGGCCCC